Molecule: ribosomal RNA, 468 nt
Filed under: uncultured bacterium
Lineage: Bacteria
Description: partial 16S ribosomal RNA
Rfam family: Bacterial small subunit ribosomal RNA
Source: RNAcentral
GACGAACGCUGGCGGCGUGCUUAACACAUGCGAGUCGAACGGAAAGGCCCUGCUUUUGUGGGGUGCUCGAGUGGCGAACGGGUGAGUAACACGUGAGUAACCUGCCCUUGACUUUGGGAUAACUUCAGGAAACUGGGGCUAAUACCGGAUAGGAGCUCCUGCUGCAUGGUGGGGGUUGGAAAGUUUCUGCGGUUGGGGAUGGACUCGCGGCUUAUCAGCUUGUUGGUGGGGUAGUGGCUUACCAAGGCUUUGACGGGUAGCCGGCCUGAGAGGGUGACCGGCCACAUUGGGACUGAGAUACGGCCCAGACUCCUACGGGAGGCAGCAGUGGGGAAUAUUGCACAAUGGGCGGAAGCCUGAUGCAGCAACGCCGCGUGCGGGAUGACGGCCUUCGGGUUGUAAACCGCUUUCGCCUGUGACGAAGCGUGAGUGACGGUAAUGGGUAAAGAAGCACCGGCUAACUACGUG